Molecule: ribosomal RNA, 253 nt
Filed under: uncultured bacterium
Lineage: Bacteria
Description: partial 16S ribosomal RNA
Rfam family: Bacterial small subunit ribosomal RNA
Source: RNAcentral
UACGUAGGGCGCAAGCGUUGUCCGGAAUUAUUGGGCGUAAAGAGCUCGUAGGCGGCUUGUCACGUCGAUUGUGAAAGCCCGAGGCUUAACCUCGGGUCUGCAGUCGAUACGGGCUAGCUAGAGUGUGGUAGGGGAGAUCGGAAUUCCUGGUGUAGCGGUGAAAUGCGCAGAUAUCAGGAGGAGCACCGGUGGCGAAGGCGGAUCUCUGGGCCAUUACUGACGCUGAGGAGCGAAAGCGUGGGGAGCGAACAGG